RNAcentral lists this ribosomal RNA (255 nucleotides) under Salmonella enterica subsp. enterica serovar Rissen. RNAcentral describes it as "partial 23S ribosomal RNA". It matches the Rfam family "Bacterial large subunit ribosomal RNA", at positions 1630 to 1867 of the family's 2925-position model. The record is from RNAcentral. Lineage: Bacteria; Pseudomonadati; Pseudomonadota; Gammaproteobacteria; Enterobacterales; Enterobacteriaceae.
GGUAACAUCAAAUCGUACCCCAAACCGACACAGGUGGUCAGGUAGAGAAUACCAAGGCGCUUGAGAGAACUCGGGUGAAGGAACUAGGCAAAAUGGUGCCGUAACUUCGGGAGAAGGCACGCUGACACGUAGGUGAAGUGAUUUACUCACGGAGCUGAAGUCAGUCGAAGAUACCAGCUGGCUGCAACUGUUUAUUAAAAACACAGCACUGUGCAAACACGAAAGUGGACGUAUACGGUGUGACGCCUGCCCGGU